This 571-nucleotide ribosomal RNA is filed under the name uncultured fungus. RNAcentral's name for it is "eukaryotic LSU rRNA". It matches the Rfam family "Eukaryotic large subunit ribosomal RNA", at positions 62 to 648 of the family's 3401-position model. Lineage: Eukaryota; Fungi. The record is from RNAcentral.
AAACCAACAGGGAUUACCUCAGUAACGGCGAGUGAAGCGGUAACAGCUCAAAUUUGAAAUCUGGGUCUUUCAGGCUCCGAGUUGUAAUUUGUAGAAGAUGCUUCGGGUGCGGCUCCGGUCUAAGUUCCUUGGAACAGGACGUCAUAGAGGGUGAGAAUCCCGUAUGUGAUCGGUUGCUUGCGCCCAUGUGAAGCUCUUUCGACGAGUCGAGUUGUUUGGGAAUGCAGCUCAAAAUGGGUGGUAAAUUUCAUCUAAAGCUAAAUAUUGGCCAGAGACCGAUAGCGCACAAGUAGAGUGAUCGAAAGAUGAAAAGCACUUUGGAAAGAGAGUGAAACAGUACGUGAAAUUGUUGAAAGGGAAGCGCUUGCGAGCAGACUUGAUUUUGGCAUUCAGCGGUUCGCGUGGACCGUGUAUUUUGUCAGUAACAAGCCAGCAUCAGUUUCCGGGGUUGGAUAAAAGCAUUGGGAAUGUAGCUUUGCCUCGGUCGAGUGUUAUAGCCCUUUGCAGAAUACAGCCACUGGAGACUGAGGACCGCCUUUUGUAGGAUGCUGGCGUAAUGGUUGCAAGCGGC